AAAAUACUCCCUCCGUCUGGAAAUACAUGUAUUAAAGAUGAAUGUAUCUAGACUUAUAUUAGUUAUAGAUACAUUUAUUAUAUCAAUUUUUAGGACAAGUAUUUCCAGACGGAGGGAGUAAUUU
Molecule: non-coding RNA, 124 nt
Organism: Hordeum vulgare subsp. vulgare (domesticated barley)
Lineage: Eukaryota; Viridiplantae; Streptophyta; Magnoliopsida; Poales; Poaceae
Source: Rfam